AACGAACGCUGGCGGCAGGCCUAACACAUGCAAGUCGAGCGCCCCGCAAGGGGAGCGGCGGACGGGUGAGUAACGCGUGGGAACGUACCCUUUGCUACGGAAUAGCCUCGGGAAACUGGGAGUAAUACCGUAUGUGCCCUUCGGGGGAAAGAUUUAUCGGCAAAGGAUCGGCCCGCGUUGGAUUAGGUAGUUGGUGGGGUAAUGGCCUACCAAGCCGACGAUCCAUAGCUGGUUUGAGAGGAUGAUCAGCCACACUGGGACUGAGACACGGCCCAGACUCCUACGGGAGGCAGCAGUGGGGGAAUCUUAGACAAUGGGCGCAAGCCUGAUCUAGCCAUGCCGCGUGAGCGAUGAAGGCCUUAGGGUUGUAAAGCUCUUUCAGUGGGGAAGAUAAUGACUGUACCCACAGAAGAAGCCCGGCUAACUCCGUGCCAGCAGCCGCGGU
Molecule: ribosomal RNA, 445 nt
Filed under: uncultured bacterium
Lineage: Bacteria
Description: bacterial SSU rRNA
Rfam family: Bacterial small subunit ribosomal RNA
Source: RNAcentral